RNAcentral lists this transfer RNA (69 nucleotides) under Chascanopsetta lugubris (pelican flounder). RNAcentral describes it as "tRNA-Asp". Lineage: Eukaryota; Metazoa; Chordata; Actinopteri; Pleuronectiformes; Bothidae. The record is from RNAcentral.
GAGGUGCUAGUAAAAAUAUUACCCUGCCUUGUCGAGACAGAGUUUCAGGUUAGACCCCUGAGCACCUUU